AGCAGCCGCGGUAAUUCCAGCUCCAAUAGCGUAUAUUAAAGUUGCUGCAGUUAAAAAGCUCGUAGUUGAAUUUCGGGACUAAUAUGUCGGUCGUGCCUCGGUACGUACUGGCUUAUUGGUUUCUCCUUUCUGAAGAACCAUGAUGUCAUUUAUUUGGUGUCGUGGGGAAUCAGGACUGUUACUUUGAAAAAAUUAGAGUGUUUAAAGCAGGCUCACGCUUGAAUACAUUAGCAUGGAAUAAUGAAAUAGGACGUUUGAUUCUAUUUUGUUGGUUUCUAGGAUCGACGUAAUGAUUAAUAGGGAUAGUUGGGGCGAUUAGUAUUCAAUUGUCAGAGGUGAAAUUCUUGGAUUUAUUGAAGACUAACUACUGCGAAAGCAUUUGCCAAGGAUGUUUUCAUUAAUCAAGAACGAAAGUUAGGAGAUCGAAGACGAUCAGAUACCGUCGUAGUCUUAACCAUAAACUAUGCCGACUAGGGAUCGGAUGAUGUUAAUUUUUUAAUGACUCAUUCGGCGCCUUACG
RNAcentral lists this ribosomal RNA (520 nucleotides) under uncultured Glomus. Its description in RNAcentral is "SSU rRNA". It matches the Rfam family "Eukaryotic small subunit ribosomal RNA", at positions 569 to 1092 of the family's 1831-position model. The record is from RNAcentral. Lineage: Eukaryota; Fungi; Glomeromycota; Glomeromycetes; Glomerales; Glomeraceae.